GGGUUGUAAACUUUUUUUAUAUUAGAAUAAAGUGCAGUAUGUAUACUGUUUGUAUGUAUAAUAUGAAUAGGAUCGGCUAACUCCGUGCCAGCAGCCGCGGUAAUACGGAGGAUCCGAGCGUUAUCCGGAUUUAUUGGGUUUAAAGGGAGCGUAGGUGGGCUGGUAAGUCAGUUGUGAAAGUUUGCGGCUCAACCGUAAAAUUGCAGUUGAUACUGUCAGUCUUGAGUACAGUAGAGGUGGGCGGAGUUCGUGGUGUAGCGGUGAAAUGCUUAGAUAUCACGAGGAACUCCGAUUGCGAAGGCAGCUCACUGGACUGCAACUGACACUGAUGCUCGAAAGUGUGGGUAUCAAACAGGAUUAGAUACCCUGGUAGUCCACACAGUAAA
Molecule: ribosomal RNA, 386 nt
Filed under: uncultured bacterium
Lineage: Bacteria
Description: bacterial SSU rRNA
Rfam family: Bacterial small subunit ribosomal RNA
Source: RNAcentral